Molecule: ribosomal RNA, 1407 nt
Filed under: uncultured bacterium
Lineage: Bacteria
Description: 16S ribosomal RNA
Rfam family: Bacterial small subunit ribosomal RNA
Source: RNAcentral
GAGUUUGAUCCUGGCUCAAGAUGAACGCUAGCGACAGGCUUAACACAUGCAAGUCGAGGGGCAGCGGUGGUGAAGGCUUGCCUUUACCAGCCGGCGACCGGCGCACGGGUGAGUAACACGUAUGCAACCUGCCUGCCACAGCCGGAUAAUCGGGAGAAAUUCCGUCUAAUACGGCAUAAUGCACCUAUGGGACAUCCUGUUGGUGCCAAAGGUUGAUUCCGGUGGCGGAUGGGCAUGCGUCGCAUUAGUUAGUUGGCGGUGUAACGGACCACCAAGACGACGAUGCGUAGGGGUUCUGAGAGGAAGGUCCCCCACACUGGUACUGAGACACGGACCAGACUCCUACGGGAGGCAGCAGUGAGGAAUAUUGGUCAAUGGGCGGGAGCCUGAACCAGCCAAGUCGCGUGAGGGAUGACGGCCCUAUGGGUUGUAAACCUCUUUUGCCGGGGAGCAAAGUGCCGCACGUGUGCGGUUUGGAGAGUACCCGGAGAAAAAGCAUCGGCUAACUCCGUGCCAGCAGCCGCGGUAAUACGGAGGAUGCGAGCGUUAUCCGGAUUUAUUGGGUUUAAAGGGUGCGUAGGCGGACGCUUAAGUCAGCGGUAAAAUUGCGGGGCUCAACCUCGUCGAGCCGUUGAAACUGGGUGCCUUGAGUGGGCGAGAAGUACGCGGAAUGCGUGGUGUAGCGGUGAAAUGCAUAGAUAUCACGCAGAACUCCGAUUGCGAAGGCAGCGUACCGGCGCCCAACUGACGCUGAAGCACGAAGGCGUGGGUAUCGAACAGGAUUAGAUACCCUGGUAGUCCACGCAGUAAACGAAUGAAUGCUAGUUUUUCCGGGGCGAUUGAGUUUUUGGGGGACACAGCGAAAGCGUUAAGCAUUCCACCUGGGGAGUACGCCGGCAACGGUGAAACUCAAAGGAAUUGACGGGGGCCCGCACAAGCGGAGGAACAUGUGGUUUAAUUCGAUGAUACGCGAGGAACCUUACCCGGGCUCAAACGCAGGAGGGAUGUUUUUGAAAGGAGGCAGCCAGCAAUGGUCUCCUGCGAGGUGCUGCAUGGUUGUCGUUAGCUCGUGCCGUGAGGUGUCGGCUUAAGUGCCAUAACGAGCGCAACCCCUACCUACAGUUGCCAUCGCGUGAUGGCGGGCACUCUGUGGGGACUGCCUGCGCAAGCAGUGAGGAAGGCGGGGAUGACGUCAAAUCAGCACGGCCCUUACGUCCGGGGCGACACACGUGUUACAAUGGCAGGUACAGCGGGAAGCCACCCGGCGACGGGGCGCGGAACCCGAAAACCUGUCUCAGUUCGAAUUGGAGUCUGCAACCCGACUCCAUGAAGCUGGAUUCGCUAGUAAUCGCGCAUCAGCCACGGCGCGGUGAAUACGUUCCCGGGCCUUGCACACACCGCCCGUCA